GGAUUUGUCAGUUGGUCGGGCUUCACUGUCCGUAUUGACUUGAUGGAUUCUUACCUUCUGAAUAACCAGCAUGCUAUUAAUUUAGUGCGUUGGGGAAGCAGAUCUAUUACCUUGAAAAAAUUAGAGUGCUUAAAGCGAGCUAGUGCUUGAAUAGAUUAGCAUGGAAUAAUAAAAUAGGACGGCAUGGUUCUAUUUUGUUGGUUUCUAGGAUCACCGUA
RNAcentral lists this ribosomal RNA (218 nucleotides) under uncultured eukaryote. RNAcentral describes it as "partial small subunit ribosomal RNA". The stretch from base 33 to 218 matches the Rfam family "Eukaryotic small subunit ribosomal RNA", at positions 678 to 864 of the family's 1831-position model. The record is from RNAcentral. RNAcentral also lists the same sequence under 1 other name.